AAGUCGUAACAAGGUUUCCGUAGGUGAACCUGUGGAAGGAUCAUUACAUAACACGUAUCCAACGUUAAACAACCCUGUGAACUUUAAGUCCCUCUUGCAGCCCAUGAGGAACAGCAAUCCCGGUAAAUCAUUGCCAAACAGUUUUGAUUCGGGACCUCUGUCCAAAAGGAGUUGCAAUCGAAGGGUGGAAGCAGUGGCAUAGUGUCACUGACUGUGUAAGGAUGUCGAUCACCGACCGGCAGACAUGUCACAGGGUCACCACGCCCCUUAAUCACUCCACUUGAAAAUGCCCCGCCUAGUGGUAACGCGCUAGGUAAAAAAAACCGAACAACUGUUAACAUGGAUAUCUUGGUUCUC
RNAcentral lists this unclassified non-coding RNA (357 nucleotides) under fungal sp. RNAcentral describes it as "partial internal transcribed spacer region". The stretch from base 1 to 46 matches the Rfam family "Eukaryotic small subunit ribosomal RNA", at positions 1786 to 1831 of the family's 1831-position model. The record is from RNAcentral. Lineage: Eukaryota; Fungi.